CCAGCCUGGGCAACAAGAGCAAAACUCCAUCUCAAAAAACAAAAAAACAAAAAACCAAAAAUUAGCUGGGUGGGGUGGUGGUGUGUGCCUGUAACUGCAGCUACACGAGAGGCUGAGGCACGAGAAUUGCUUGAACCUGAGAGGCAGACAUCACAGUGAGCCGAGACGGCGCCACUGCACUCUCGCCUGGGUGACAGUGAGACUGAGUCUCAAAAAAAAAAAAAAAAAAAAAAAGUGAUGAUGUUUGACCUACGGUUUCCCCUGAAGUGUGACAAAAUCUCACUUGAGUCUGCUAUCCCAACAGACAGACUCUGGACAGAGUGAGGCAUAUUAAGUAUGAGGCUCUUUAUGAAAUGGAGGGCCUAUGAGUGCCACCUUCUGGAGUAAAGGAUAAAACUUAAUGCAAUUUUGCCAGUGACCGGGAUGAAAAACAGAAGGCAUGCAUAUCAUAUUUGUGGACGGCAAGGAGUUAGUAGGAAUUGCAACAUUCUCAGUGUGCAGAAUGAGGAUUCAAAUAGUCAGGAAUGGUAAACUCCAGCUUAUUAAAUUUUAUUGAAUUGAAAUUCAAUAGUAAUAAGUCAGAUUCUGCCUUUGGGUUCAAAAAGUCAACUCUUCAUAGAUAAAGUAGGAAAGAUGUAGAAUUUUUAGAACUAGGGAGGCACUCUGCUGACAGCACCCUUCCCCUGCAUCAAGUUCUGUCUUAAGUGCCAAACUUUAAGGGCAUUAUCAACAAAUGAAUAUAUUCAGAGGAGUGAUCUGGAGGGUGAAGGGACCUAAAAUUUUGUCAUGUAGAAACUUCUGAAGAAUCAGCAUUAAGCCCAGAUAAUAAAGACUCAGGGAAAACAAAAUUAUAGUCUAGAUAUACUGUAUUAAUGGACUGAAGGGAGAAAAUUAGGGCCAGUGGAUGGAUACUGCUUGUAUUAAUUCAGAAUGUAGUAUCCCUCAGAGAUUUAAGGAAGGGGUGUUGUGCACUGGAAAAAAAUACUGGUUUCCAAGUCAGGCAGACCUUGUUUAAUUCCAGACUCUUGACAAAGUUUUAUGUCAGUCUUAGUUUUCUCACUUAAAAAUUGUAGUAAUAUGUAUUCUGCAAAGUUUGGAAACGUAAUGUAGCAAGGUCUGUAAAUCACUUUGCAGCACCUCACCUAAGAGCGUCUAUGGUUGAUUUUAAAUUGGGUAUUCUAGGUCAGGUUUGGCAUACUUUCUUUCUUUCUUUUUCUUUUCUUUUGAGGCAGAGUCUCACUCUGUUGCCUAGGCUAGAGUGCAGUGGCGCAAUCUCGGCUCACUGCAACCUCCACCUCCCGGGUUCAAACAAUUCUCCUGCCUCAGCCUCCCGAGUAGCUGGGAUUACAGGCACACAGCACCACGCCCGGCUAAUUUUUGUAUUUUUAGUAGAGAUGGGGUUUCACUAUGUUGGUCAGGCUGGUCUCGAACUCCUGACCUCAUGAUCCACCUGCCUCAGCCUCUCAAAGUGCUGGGAUUACAGGUGUGAGCCACCGUGCCCGGCUCAAGGGUUGGCAUACUUUCUGUAAAGGGCUAGAGAAUAAAUUUUUCAGGUUCUGCAGGUCUCUAUACAAUGAUACCACUCCAGUUCUAUUGGGAAAGCAUCCAUAGACAAUGAUCAUGGCUGUGUUCCAAUGAACCUUCUUUUGUGGACACUAAAAUGUGAAUUUUAUAUAAUUUUUGUGUGUUGUGAAAUAAUUAUCAAAUCUUUUUCAAGCAUUUAAAAAUGUAAAAACAGCUGGGCGUGGUGGCUCAUGCUUGUAAUCCUAGCACUCUGGGAGGCCAAGGCUGGUUUUGAACUCCUGACCUCAAGUGAUCCGCCCGCGUCGGCCUUCCAAAGUGCUAGGAUUACAGGCGUGAGCCACCACGCCCAGUCUGACAUGGAACUUCUAAACAGUGAUGCUACGUAACAGGCCUGGUUCGCUGGAGAUAAGUAAGAGGGGAUAAAAAUAGUUAACCUUACCUAUCUGAUUGGCAAAAAUUCAAAAGCUUGAUAGGGAGUCUAUCUGAGCCUGGGCAGGUUCUGGAAGCUGCCCAAUUUAAAAAAAACAAUGGCGCCUGGUGCGGCGGCUCACGCCUGUAAUCUCAGCACUUUGGGAGGCCGAGGCAGGUGGAUCACGAGGUUAGGAGUUCAAGACCAGCCUGACCAAC
This 2151-nucleotide long non-coding RNA is filed under the name Homo sapiens (human). Its description in RNAcentral is "HSALNT0016408". The record is from RNAcentral. Lineage: Eukaryota; Metazoa; Chordata; Mammalia; Primates; Hominidae.